AUGCCAGCGGCGGCGCUGCCCCGUGGCGUCCAGGCGGUGCUGGUGACCUCCGGCCAACUCCGCAACCUCGACCCGCAGCUCCAGGUGCCCCCGCUCCUCCUCGCCAACACCCUCAUCGCCGCCUUCUCCCGCGCCGCACUCCCUCGCCUCGCCUUCCCACUCCUCCGCCACCUCCUGCGCCGCGCCCGCCCCUUCCGCCCCGACGCCUUCACCUUGCCGCCGCUCAUCCGCGCGGCCCCGGCCCACGCCUCCGCCGCGCAGCUCCACGCCUGCGCGCUCCGGCUCGGCCUCCUCCGCCCGUGCGUCUUCGCGUCCGGCUCCCUCGUGCACGCCUACCUCCGCUUCGGCCGCGUGGAGGAGGCCCGCGGGGUGUUCGACGAAAUGCCCGCGCGGGACCUGCCGGCCUGGAACGCGAUGCUGUCCGGGCUGUGCCGCAACGCCCGCGCGGCCGAGGCCGUGCGCCUGCUCGGGCGGAUGGCGGGGGAGGGCGUCGCCGGCGACACGGUCACGGUCUCGAGCGUGCUGCCCAUGUGCGCGCUGCUGGGGGACUGGGUGCUUGCGCUGGUCGUGCACGUGUAUGCGGUGAAGCACGGGCUGGACAAGGAGCUCUUCGUGUGCAAUGCCAUGAUCGAUGUGUAUGGAAAGCUUGGGAUGCUAGAGGAGGCUCGGCAGGUGUUUGAUGGAAUGGAGCGCCGCGAUCUGGUGACAUGGAACUCGAUCAUCUCAGGGUAUGAGCAGGGUGGGCAGGUUGCUGCUGCGGUCAAGAUGUUUCACGGUAUGAGGGACAGUGGGGUUUCCCCUGACGUGCUGACGCUUGUGAGCCUGGCGUCUGCUGUCGCACAGUGUGGAGGUGACUGCGGUGGGAAGUCAGUGCACUGUUAUGUGAUGAGGCGGGGGUGGGAUCUGGGUGACAUAAUUGCAGGGAAUGCUGUGGUUGAUAUGUAUGCCAAGCUAUCAAAGAUUGAGGCCGCCCAGAGGAUGUUUGACACCAUGCCAGUUCGAGAUGCUGUGUCUUGGAAUACUUUGAUCACGGGGUAUAUGCAGAAUGGACUUGCCAACGAGGCAAUUGAGGCGUAUAGUCGUAUGCAGAAUCAUGAGGGUCUGAAGCCUAUUCAAGGGACAAUUGUCAGUGUUUUGCCUGCAUACUCACAACUUGGUGCCUUGCAGCAGGGCAUGCGGAUGCAUGCUCUGUCUGUUAAGACUGGGUUCAAUCUGGAUGUUUAUGUUGGAACUUGUAUGGUAGACUUGUAUGCUAAAUGCGGAAAGCUGGCGGACGCAAUGCUUUUCUUUGAAAAUAUGCCCAAAAGGAGUAGGAGUACAGGUCCCUGGAAUGCCAUCAUGGCUGGCCUUGGAGUUCAUGGGCAUGCCGCAGAGGCUCUCAGUGUCUUCUCACGAAUGCAGCAGGAAGGAGUUAAUCCUGAUCAUGUCACAUUUGUUUCACUGUUGGCUGCCUGUAGUCAUGCUGGCUUAGUUGACCAAGGCCGGAGUUUCUUUGAUAUGAUGCGUGUAACAUACGGCAUUAUCCCCAUUGCAAAACAUUAUGCGUGCAUGGUAGAUAUGCUUGGCAGAGCUGGUCAGCUUCAGGAAGCUUUUGAUUUCAUACACAACAUGCCAAUUAAACCCGAUUCCGCUGUUUGGGGAGCUCUGCUUGGUGCUUGCAGGAUUCAUGGGAAUGUUGAAAUGGGCAAAGUGGCUUCGCAAAACCUAUUUGAACUUGAUCCAGAGAAUGUUGGAUAUUAUGUUCUAAUGUCGAACAUGUAUGCAAAGGUUGGGAAAUGGGAUGGAGUUGACGAAGUGAGGUCUUUGGUCAGACACCAAAAUUUGCAGAAAACCCCUGGAUGGAGUUCAAUAGAGGUGAAAAGAUCAGUGAAUGUGUUUUACAGUGGCAACCAGACAGAACCCCACCCUCAACAUGAAGAGAUCCAGGCAGAGCUGCAGAAUCUGUUGGCCAAGAUGAGAUCUAUAGGUUAUGUUCCGGACUACAGUUUUGUCCUACAGGAUGUAGAGGAGGAUGAAAAGCAACACAUCUUGAAUAAUCAUAGUGAGAGAUUAGCUAUUGCCUUUGGCAUCAUAAAUACUCCUCCAAGAACUCCGCUCCAUAUAUACAAGAAUUUGCGCGUGUGUGGGGAUUGCCACAAUGCCACCAAAUAUAUAUCAAAACUAACUGAGAGAGAGAUCAUUGUCCGGGAUUCAAAUCGGUUCCACCACUUUAAACAUGGUCAAUGUUCUUGUGGGGAUUUUUGGUAA
Molecule: ribosomal RNA, 2247 nt
Filed under: Triticum aestivum (bread wheat)
Lineage: Eukaryota; Viridiplantae; Streptophyta; Magnoliopsida; Poales; Poaceae
Description: partial small subunit ribosomal RNA
Source: RNAcentral